This 484-nucleotide ribosomal RNA is filed under the name uncultured bacterium. Its description in RNAcentral is "partial 16S ribosomal RNA". It matches the Rfam family "Bacterial small subunit ribosomal RNA", at positions 30 to 507 of the family's 1533-position model. The record is from RNAcentral.
AUUGAACGCUGGCGGCAUGCUUUACACAUGCAAGUCGAACGGCAGCACGGGGGCAGCCCUGGUGGCGAGUGGCGCAAGGGUGAGUAAUACAUCGGAACGAGCCCGGUCGUGGGGGAUAACGUAGCGAGAGUUAUGCUAAUAACGCCUACGAUCAGCGCAUGAUAGCGGGUGGCGUUCGGGCCUCUCGCGCUGGGAGCGGCCGAUGUCCGAUUAGGUAGUUGGUGGGGUAUAGGCCUACCAAGCCGCCGAUCGGUAGCUGGUCUGAGAGGACGAGCAGCCACACUGGGACUGAGACACGGCCCAGACUCCUACGGGAGGCAGCAGUGGGGAAUUUUGGACAAUGGGCGCAAGCCUGAUCCAGCCAUUCCGCGUGCAGGACGAAGGCCUUCGGGUUGUAAACUGCUUUUGUACGGAACGAAAAGGCUCUGGCUAAUACCUGGGGCUCAUGACGGUACCGUAAGAAUAAGCACCGGCUAACUACGUG